Molecule: ribosomal RNA, 642 nt
Filed under: uncultured Pseudomonadaceae bacterium
Lineage: Bacteria; Pseudomonadati; Pseudomonadota; Gammaproteobacteria; Pseudomonadales; Pseudomonadaceae
Description: SSU rRNA
Rfam family: Bacterial small subunit ribosomal RNA
Source: RNAcentral
GUAGUGGGGGAUAACGUCCGGAAACGGGCGCUAAUACCGCAUACGUCCUGAGGGAGAAAGUGGGGGAUCUUCGGACCUCACGCUAUCAGAUGAGCCUAGGUCGGAUUAGCUAGUUGGUGGGGUAAAGGCCUACCAAGGCGACGAUCCGUAACUGGUCUGAGAGGAUGAUCAGUCACACUGGAACUGAGACACGGUCCAGACUCCUACGGGAGGCAGCAGUGGGGAAUAUUGGACAAUGGGCGAAAGCCUGAUCCAGCCAUGCCGCGUGUGUGAAGAAGGUCUUCGGAUUGUAAAGCACUUUAAGUUGGGAGGAAGGGCAGUAAGUUAAUACCUUGCUGUUUUGACGUUACCAACAGAAUAAGCACCGGCUAACUUCGUGCCAGCAGCCGCGGUAAUACGAAGGGUGCAAGCGUUAAUCGGAAUUACUGGGCGUAAAGCGCGCGUAGGUGGUUCAGCAAGUUGGAUGUGAAAUCCCCGGGCUCAACCUGGGAACUGCAUCCAAAACUACUGAGCUAGAGUACGGUAGAGGGUGGUGGAACUUCCUGUGUAGCGGUGAAAUGCGUAGAUAUAGGAAGGAACACCAGUGGCGAAGGCGACCACCUGGACUGAUACUGACACUGAGGUGCGAAAGCGUGGGGAGCA